RNAcentral lists this transfer RNA (76 nucleotides) under Brevibacillus gelatini. RNAcentral describes it as "tRNA-Thr". It matches the Rfam family "tRNA". From Rfam's summary of the family: Transfer RNA (tRNA) molecules are approximately 80 nucleotides in length. Their secondary structure includes four short double-helical elements and three loops (D, anti-codon, and T loops). Lineage: Bacteria; Bacillati; Bacillota; Bacilli; Caryophanales; Paenibacillaceae. The record is from RNAcentral.
GCCGGCGUAGCUCAAUUGGUAGAGCACCUGAAUCGUAAUCAGGGGGUUGUGGGUUCGAUUCCUAUCGCCGGCACCA